Molecule: long non-coding RNA, 571 nt
Filed under: Heterocephalus glaber (naked mole-rat)
Lineage: Eukaryota; Metazoa; Chordata; Mammalia; Rodentia; Bathyergidae
Description: lncRNA (ENSHGLG00100035241.1)
Source: RNAcentral
CAGCAUGCCAAAGGAGAGGGUCACCAUGUAGACCAGGAGGACUGGUACUGACUCUAUAGAGAAAUAUCACUGCUGCUGCAGAAUGCCAGCAAGAAAGAAAACCUCUGAAAUCCAGAAGAUGCUCUGAGAUUCCUCCAGAGACCCCCAUAUCCAGCUGUAAAAGUUAAUGGAUGAUCCCAGGAGCCCACAGUAGGCAGGAUGACAAAGGGCUCAAUAUGUAAUAAAAAGGAUGAUGUACCUCAACUCAACAGGAAUCUCAUUAUGACUGAGGUUGAGUUGCUGACCAGGUGUAAAUGGAAGGGAACAGCACUGAAACUGAUAUCAAUAAGAAUGGAGUCCAAGUUAAAGACAGGUACACCUGAAAUAUAUCAAGACUCAGAGAUAUAAAGCUACCCAAGGUGACAAUGCCUGGUGCCUAUCAAAGGCCUUUAGAUAGACCCUCUGUAGAAUAACUCGAACUGCUGAUCACAACUCCGACCCUCUUCAGCUGGAAGUAGCCAGAAUGGUCUUCGCUGUAUCCCCCUCACAGCAGAUAGGGGUCCUCCUUAGAAGGGGGAAUAUUGCAGAUAGG